This is a non-coding RNA of Phrynosoma platyrhinos (Desert horned lizard), 72 nucleotides long. The record is from the annotation of a GenBank genome assembly. Lineage: Eukaryota; Metazoa; Chordata; Lepidosauria; Squamata; Phrynosomatidae.
CUCUGUCUGGCUUAGUGGCUUGAGUCUGGGGCUACAACUCUAGAGACCAGGGUUCAAUUCCCAGAUCAGACU